GAUCAUGGCUCAGGAUGAACGCUAGCUACAGGCUUAACACAUGCAAGUCGAGGGGAAACGAUAUUGGAAGCUUGCUUCCGAUAGGCGUCGACCGGCGCACGGGUGAGUAACGCGUAUCCAACCUGCCCAUCACUUGGGGAUAACCUUGCGAAAGUAAGACUAAUACCCAAUGAUAUCUCUAGAAGACAUCUGAAAGGGNUUAAAGAUUUAUCGGUGAUGGAUGGGGAUGCGU
This 232-nucleotide ribosomal RNA is filed under the name uncultured bacterium. Its description in RNAcentral is "partial 16S ribosomal RNA". It matches the Rfam family "Bacterial small subunit ribosomal RNA", at positions 15 to 236 of the family's 1533-position model. The record is from RNAcentral.